RNAcentral lists this ribosomal RNA (903 nucleotides) under uncultured bacterium. Its description in RNAcentral is "bacterial SSU rRNA". It matches the Rfam family "Bacterial small subunit ribosomal RNA", at positions 105 to 1006 of the family's 1533-position model. The record is from RNAcentral.
GGUGCGUAACACGUGAGCAACCUACCGAACUGUGGGGGAUAGCCGGCCUAACGGCCGAGUAAUACCGCAUACGCUCUUGGAGAGGCAUUUCUUUGAGAGGAAACCUACGGGACAGAUCGAGGGGCUCGCGGCCUAUCAGCUAGUUGGCGAGGUAACGGCUCACCAAGGCAACGACGGGUAGCUGGUCUGAGAGGAUGGCCAGCCACAUUGGGACUGAGAUACGGCCCAGACUCCUACGGGAGGCAGCAGUGGGGAAUCUUGCGCAAUGGCCUAACGGCUGACGCAGCGACGCCGCGUGUGGGAUGAAGCUCUUCGGAGUGUAAACCACUGUUGCCCGGGACGAACAGCUCGAUUUCUCGAGCCUGACGGUACCGGGUGAGGAAGCACCGGCUAACUCCGUGCCAGCAGCCGCGGUAAUACGGGGGGUGCGAGCGUUGUCCGGAAUCACUGGGCGUAAAGGGCGCGUAGGUGGUUUGAUAGGGGUGUGGUGAAAGUCCGGGGCUCAACCCCGGAUCUGCCGUGCCGACUGUCAAACUCGAGGACUGUAGAGGCAGACGGAAUUCCGGGUGUAGCGGUGGAAUGCGUAGAGAUCCGGAGGAAGACCGGUGGCGAAGGCGGUCUGCUGGGCAGUUUCUGACACUGAGGCGCGACAGCGUGGGGAGCAAACAGGAUUAGAUACCCUGGUAGUCCACGCCGUAAACGAUGGGUACUAGGUGCCUGGGGGAGCGACCCUCUGGGUGCCGGCGCUAACGCAGGAAGUACCCCGCCUGGGGAGUACGACCGCAAGGUUGAAACUCAAAGGAAUUGACGGGGGCCCGCACAAGCGGUGGAGCAUGUGGUUUAAUUCGACGCAACGCGAAGAACCUUACCUAGGCUUGACAUGCACGAGCAAGCUCUCAGAAA